RNAcentral lists this ribosomal RNA (442 nucleotides) under uncultured bacterium. RNAcentral's name for it is "bacterial SSU rRNA". It matches the Rfam family "Bacterial small subunit ribosomal RNA", at positions 147 to 566 of the family's 1533-position model. The record is from RNAcentral.
CCUGCCGAAAGGCGGGCUAAUACUGGAUAGAGCGAUGGAAUCCGUAAUUGGGUUUUUCGGGAAAGGGAGGAAGCAAUUCCCUUCGCUUUGGGAUGAGUCUGCGUCUCAUUAGCUAGUUGGUGGGGUAACGGCCUACCAAGGCAUUGAUGGGUAGCUGGUCUGAGAGGAUGAUCAGCCACACUGGAACUGAAACACGGUCCAGACUCCUACGGGAGGCAGCAGUGGGGAAUCUUGCGCAAUGGACAAAAGUCUGACGCAGCCACGCCGCGUGAGUGAAGAAGGCCUUCGGGUUGUAAAGCUCUGUCGAGUGGGACGAAAAUUCUAGGAGUGAAUAGCUCUUAGAACUGACGGUACCGCUAAAGGAAGCACCGGCUAACUCCGUGCCAGCAGCCGCGGUAAUACGGAGGGUGCAAGCGUUGCUCGAAAUUAUUGGGCGUAAAGG